GAUGGAGGUGACAUCUCCACAACGUGCCCUCCCCUGGCCAUCAGGGGGGCCCUGUGCCCCCACGCUGGGCAGGAGCCGAGCCCCGGCUCUGAGGGCAGCUGUGGAGGUGUGGUGGGGCAGAGGACCCCCCUGCUGCCAGCAGGAGCCGUGCUCUCAGAAGAAGCCUGUGCAGCGCUGUGCCUGCUGCCGGGCUGCAGCCGGGGCCAGGAGCUGGGCUGGCAGCAGCCUUGCCAGGCCAAGGGGCACCAGCAGCGGCCACGCUCGGCCUGUUCCCUUUCUGGCGGUCACAGUCGUGCUAGCCAGAGUGUGAGAGGGAAAGGGGCCCUGACAGCGCUAGUGGCAUGGAAACUUUGCUUUACUGGUUUGAAAAUGAAAUGCGAUUCUUCUCCUGCUGAUAGACUGCAGGUCUCAUCUGGAGAAAAAAAAAAUGCAAGGAAGUGGGCGUUAGCAGCAGCUCUUCAUAACUGCCUUGAGGUACCAGGGAGCUGUGGGACGGCCUGUUUCAGGGUUUCGUUUUGCCACCCGUCACUGCUGUAUCUUUGCAUGUACCAUAUAAAACAGCCUAGGAGAACAAAGCCCAUAGCAGACCUCAUGUUUGACUCAUCAGCUUUUUUUUUUUUCUUUUCCUGUUUACAGAGUUUGGCCUGGAUGAAAAUUCUUGUCUCUAAAUAUCAGUAAAAAUUUUCAGUUCUGCUGGUCUGGUUUGAGAUUUUGAAAUUAUUAGAGAGUAAGGCAGUUAAGAAGCACAUUUUAAAAUAUACAUUUAGAUGUCUAGCUAUUAGUUUAAUCAGAAAGAUGUCAGAGAAGAAAUCUUCCAUGAGUUAGCAGUCAUAUUUAUUUCCUGAGCAGCUUUCACUGCAGUGUUACAGAGCGUCUGAGGUGUUUUGAGAUCAACAUUCAAACAACAGUCCAAACCACAACGGGGAGAAAUGCGUUGUUUCUUCCCCAGAAUUUCUUUUCUUGGAGCCUUUGUGUUAUUUAUGAUUUAUGGUUUAGUUCUGUUCUCAGAAAAUGAUCCCUGUCUCUCAUGAUUUUUCAUAGCAGAUCUCCAUACUUACUUUGGCUACUGGAUUUGUUUAUUUCAACCUGGAAUUUUUAAAACAAGCUCAGGUUCUUUC
This 1118-nucleotide long non-coding RNA is filed under the name Anser brachyrhynchus (Pink-footed goose). RNAcentral's name for it is "lncRNA (ENSABRG00000022230.1)". Lineage: Eukaryota; Metazoa; Chordata; Aves; Anseriformes; Anatidae. The record is from RNAcentral.